UACGGGGGGUGCGAGCGUUGUCCGGAAUCACUGGGCGUAAAGGGCGCGUAGGUGGUUUGAUGAGGGUGUGGUGAAAGUCCGGGGCUCAACCCCGGAUCUGCCGUGCCGACUGUCAAACUCGAGGACUGUAGAGGCAGACGGAAUUCCGGGUGUAGCGGUGGAAUGCGUAGAGAUCCGGAGGAAGACCGGUGGCGAAGGCGGUCUGCUGGGCAGUUUCUGACACUGAGGCGCGACAGCGUGGAGAGCAAACAGG
RNAcentral lists this ribosomal RNA (253 nucleotides) under uncultured bacterium. RNAcentral describes it as "partial 16S ribosomal RNA". It matches the Rfam family "Bacterial small subunit ribosomal RNA", at positions 524 to 776 of the family's 1533-position model. The record is from RNAcentral.